ACUUAAAUUGAAGAGUUUGAUCAUGGCUCAGAUUGAACGCUGGCGGCAGGCCUAACACAUGCAAGUCGAGCGGUAGCACAGAGAGCUUGCUCUCGGGUGACGAGCGGCGGACGGGUGAGUAAUGUCUGGGAAACUGCCUGAUGGAGGGGGAUAACUACUGGAAACGGUAGCUAAUACCGCAUAACGUCGCAAGACCAAAGUGGGGGACCUUCGGGCCUCAUGCCAUCAGAUGUGCCCAGAUGGGAUUAGCUAGUAGGUGGGGUAACGGCUCACCUAGGCGACGAUCCCUAGCUGGUCUGAGAGGAUGACCAGCCACACUGGAACUGAGACACGGUCCAGACUCCUACGGGAGGCAGCAGUGGGGAAUAUUGCACAAUGGGCGCAAGCCUGAUGCAGCCAUGCCGCGUGUGUGAAGAAGGCCUUCGGGUUGUAAAGCACUUUCAGCGGGGAGGAAGGCGAUAAGGUUAAUAACCUUGUCGAUUGACGUUACCCGCAGAAGAAGCACCGGCUAACUCCGUGCCAGCAGCCGCGGUAAUACGGAGGGUGCAAGCGUUAAUCGGAAUUACUGGGCGUAAAGCGCACGCAGGCGGUCUGUCAAGUCGGAUGUGAAAUCCCCGGGCUCAACCUGGGAACUGCAUUCGAAACUGGCAGGCUAGAGUCUUGUAGAGGGGGGUAGAAUUCCAGGUGUAGCGGUGAAAUGCGUAGAGAUCUGGAGGAAUACCGGUGGCGAAGGCGGCCCCCUGGACAAAGACUGACGCUCAGGUGCGAAAGCGUGGGGAGCAAACAGGAUUAGAUACCCUGGUAGUCCACGCCGUAAACGAUGUCGAUUUGGAGGUUGUGCCCUUGAGGCGUGGCUUCCGGAGCUAACGCGUUAAAUCGACCGCCUGGGGAGUACGGCCGCAAGGUUAAA
Molecule: ribosomal RNA, 910 nt
Filed under: Klebsiella pneumoniae
Lineage: Bacteria; Pseudomonadati; Pseudomonadota; Gammaproteobacteria; Enterobacterales; Enterobacteriaceae
Description: bacterial SSU rRNA
Rfam family: Bacterial small subunit ribosomal RNA
Source: RNAcentral